Xyrichtys novacula (pearly razorfish) is the source of this 399-nucleotide non-coding RNA. NCBI's taxonomy places the organism in Eukaryota, Metazoa, Chordata, Actinopteri, Labriformes, Labridae. The record is from the annotation of a GenBank genome assembly.
CAAGUAGUAGUCGAAGUAGUAUGUAGCAUGUCCGAAUUGGCCACUGGAGCGAGUAGCAUGCUACUUCAGAUACUACCUCAGAUACUAGACAUGAGCUGCGUCGGAAUUGCCAAGUAGUAGUCGAAGUAGUAGUCGAAGUAGUAUCUAGCAUGUCCGAAUUGGCCACCGGAGCGAGUAGCAUGCUACUUCAGAUACUACUUCAGAUACUAGACACGCCCACAUUGUAGGUUGGUCUCGGUGCAUCCUACGGGCAUGCUACUGACCCAAAAUGCACCGCGGGCUUCUUCUUCGUCCUCUUAAAAGUUGUAGAAGCGCAUGUGAUGCUAGCGCCACCAGCUGCUCUGCCUAUUUAAAUGUGUCGCGAACGCCGGCUGGCCACAGCAGCGCGCACCAUGUCGG